This 349-nucleotide RNase P RNA is filed under the name uncultured Gemmiger sp. RNAcentral describes it as "Bacterial RNase P class A". It matches the Rfam family "Bacterial RNase P class A". Rfam says of the family: Ribonuclease P (RNase P) is a ubiquitous endoribonuclease, found in archaea, bacteria and eukarya as well as chloroplasts and mitochondria. Its best characterised activity is the generation of mature 5'-ends of tRNAs by cleaving the 5'-leader elements of precursor-tRNAs. Lineage: Bacteria; Bacillati; Bacillota; Clostridia; Eubacteriales; Oscillospiraceae. The record is from RNAcentral.
AGCGUCCGGCGACGGGCCUGUCCUGAGGAAAGUCCGGGCUUCACAGAGGCAUGGCAACUGCUAACGGCAGCCGGGGGUGACCCCAGGGAAAGUGCAACAGAAAUAGACCGCCGCCCCACGGGGCGGUAAGGAUGGAAAGGCGAGGUAAGAGCUCACCAGCGCACUGGCGACUUUGCGGCUAUGUAAACCCUGUCAGAAGCAACAUCCGUAUGGGACAUUAUGUGGAAGCCUCGCACGUCCCGGAGAUGGCAUGUCACAAAACCCCCGCGGUUUUUGUGCGGAGCCUUGCGGCAACGCAAGGUCAAGAUAGAUCGUCGUUUAAUACAGAACCCGGCUUACGGUCCAGUCG